Molecule: long non-coding RNA, 362 nt
Filed under: Nicotiana benthamiana
Lineage: Eukaryota; Viridiplantae; Streptophyta; Magnoliopsida; Solanales; Solanaceae
Description: long non-coding RNA (NBEN_LNC023048)
Source: RNAcentral
UAAAAGAUACAUAUUGCCCCAAUUGUUGUCUGAGUAAAGCAUGAAGGAAUGCAAAAUUAAGCUGAAAUGCCAUCCUCUUGUGGAACUUUUAUCUCAUUUGAUUUAAAAGGGGCAACACUCCAUGGUGAAUUGAUAUCUUCAAGUCCGCCGGUACUCAAGUUGAAGUCCCCAAGUUGAAAUCUUCAAGUCCGUCGGUCUUCAAGUUGAAGUCUUCAAAUUCGCCGAUCUUCAAGUUGAAAUAUUUAAGUCUCAAAGUUGAAGUCUUCAAGUCCGUCAGUCUUCAAGUUGAAUCUUCAAAUUCGCCGAUCUUCAAGUUGAAAUAUUUAGCCCUCCAAGCCUCAAAGUUGAAGUCAUCAAGUCUG